Molecule: ribosomal RNA, 468 nt
Filed under: uncultured bacterium
Lineage: Bacteria
Description: partial 16S ribosomal RNA
Rfam family: Bacterial small subunit ribosomal RNA
Source: RNAcentral
GACGAACGCUGGCGGCGUGCUUAACACAUGCAAGUCGAACGGAAAGGCCCUGCUUUUGUGGGGUGCUCGAGUGGCGAACGGGUGAGUAACACGUGAGUAACCUGCCCUUGACUUUGGGAUAACUUCAGGAAACUGGGGCUAAUACCGGAUAGGAGCUCCUGCUGCAUGGUGGGGGUUGGAAAGUUUCGGCGGUUGGGGAUGGACUCGCGGCUUAUCAGCUUGUUGGUGGGGUAGUGGCUUACCAAGGCUUUGACGGGUAGCCGGCCUGAGAGGGUGAACGGCCACAUUGGGACUGAGAUACGGCCCAGACUCCUACGGGAGGCAGCAGUGGGGAAUAUUGCACAAUGGGCGGAAGCCUGAUGCAGCAACGCCGCGUGCGGGAUGACGGCCUUCGAGUUGUAAACCGCUUUCGCCUGUGACGAAGCGUGAGUGACGGUAAUGGGUAAAGAAGCACCGGCUAACUACGUG